GCCGAAGUGGCGGAAUGGUAGACGCGCAGCGUUCAGGACGCUGUGUCCUUAGGGGCGUGAGGGUUCAAAUCCCUCCUUCGGCA
This 83-nucleotide transfer RNA is filed under the name bacterium. RNAcentral describes it as "tRNA-Leu". It matches the Rfam family "tRNA". Rfam says of the family: Transfer RNA (tRNA) molecules are approximately 80 nucleotides in length. The record is from RNAcentral.